CCAGUUAGUUGAAUGGUAGCUUUGAUAUUUUCAAAGAGGAAAGUCUGGGCUCCACAAGAUAACAGUGCCAGCUAAUAGCUGGCGAGGGUGACCUCAGGGAUAGUGCCACAGAAAAUAAACCGCCUUAUCAAGGCAAGGGUGAAAAGGUGUGGUAAGAGCACACCGGGUUUUUGGUAACAAAAACCGCAUGGAAAACCCCACUGGGAGCAAGACCAAAUAGAAGCAACAUGAUUUAAAUUUAUUUAAAUCUAGCCUAAUCUUGGGUGAGUUGUUUGGGUUGGUUGCUCGAGUCUAUUGGCGACAAUAGACCUAGAUAAAUUACCGUUUUCAAUGACAGAACCCAGCUUACAGACUAACUGGCAAU
Molecule: RNase P RNA, 364 nt
Filed under: Pseudomonadota bacterium
Lineage: Bacteria; Pseudomonadati; Pseudomonadota
Also listed under: 1 other name
Description: RNase P RNA component class A
Rfam family: Bacterial RNase P class A
About the family: Ribonuclease P (RNase P) is a ubiquitous endoribonuclease, found in archaea, bacteria and eukarya as well as chloroplasts and mitochondria. Its best characterised activity is the generation of mature 5'-ends of tRNAs by cleaving the 5'-leader elements of precursor-tRNAs.
Source: RNAcentral